RNAcentral lists this unclassified non-coding RNA (264 nucleotides) under Hevea brasiliensis (rubber tree). The record is from RNAcentral. Lineage: Eukaryota; Viridiplantae; Streptophyta; Magnoliopsida; Malpighiales; Euphorbiaceae.
AGAGAAGGUAGCUGAAAAAAAAAAUAAUUGAUGAAAAUGAAUAAAUAACUAAAUCAAUUUAGCUAAUCAUCAUAAGUUCCACAAUAUGACUAAUAAAAAUAUUGACAAAGUCAUGAUUCCGCAAUGAUCUAAGCAAUUUCAUUACAAACAGCCAAAAAAAAUCAUCAAUUCAGGCAGCUUUUUAAUGAAUCAAUGUGAAGAGAUUAAAAAAAAUAAAAAUAAAAAUAAUUGAGACUAGAAGAGAAACAAAUUCUUGUAUUACAG